This 490-nucleotide ribosomal RNA is filed under the name uncultured bacterium. Its description in RNAcentral is "bacterial SSU rRNA". It matches the Rfam family "Bacterial small subunit ribosomal RNA", at positions 355 to 861 of the family's 1533-position model. The record is from RNAcentral.
UGGGGAAUAUUGCACAAUGGGCGCAAGCCUGAUGCAGCAAUGCCGCGUGAGUGAAGACGGCCUUAGGGUUGUAAAACUCUUUCGCUAGGGAAGAUAAUGACGGUACCUAGUAAAGAAGUCCCGGCUAACUCCGUGCCAGCAGCCGCGGUAAUACGGAGGGGACUAGCGUUGUUCGGAAUUACUGGGCGUAAAGCGCACGUAGGCGGACCAGAAAGUUGGGGGUGAAAUCCCGGGGGCUCAACCCCGGAACUGCCUCCAAAACUAUUGGUCUAGAGUUCGAGAGAGGUGAGUGGAAUUCCAAGUGUAGAGGUGAAAUUCGUAGAUAUUUGGAGGAACACCAGUGGCGAAGGCGGCUCACUGGCUCGAUACUGACGCUGAGGUGCGAAAGUGUGGGGAGCAAACAGGAUUAGAUACCCUGGUAGUCCACACCGUAAAACGAUGAAUGCCAGUCGUCGGGUAGCAUGCUAUUCGGUGACACACCUAACGGAUU